This 66-nucleotide transfer RNA is filed under the name Leptodactylus melanonotus (black-backed frog). Its description in RNAcentral is "tRNA-Cys". Lineage: Eukaryota; Metazoa; Chordata; Amphibia; Anura; Leptodactylidae. The record is from RNAcentral.
AGGUUCCGGGGUGUCACACGUGGGAUUGCAAAUCCCAAGAAGCAGAGGAAAUUCUGCCGGGGCUUC